This 232-nucleotide ribosomal RNA is filed under the name uncultured bacterium. RNAcentral describes it as "partial 16S ribosomal RNA". It matches the Rfam family "Bacterial small subunit ribosomal RNA", at positions 103 to 334 of the family's 1533-position model. The record is from RNAcentral.
CGGGUGAGUAACGCGUGAGGAACCUGCCUCAAAGAGGGGACAACAGUUGGAAACGACUGCUAAUACCGCAUAAGCCCACGGCUCGGCAUCGAGCAGAGGGAAAAGGAGUGAUCCGCUUUGAGAUGGCCUCGCGUCCGAUUAGCUGGUUGGUGAGGUAAUGGCCCACCAAGGCGACGAUCGGUAGCCGGACUGAGAGGUUGAACGGCCACAUUGGGACUGAGACACGGCCCAG